RNAcentral lists this ribosomal RNA (301 nucleotides) under uncultured bacterium. Its description in RNAcentral is "partial 16S ribosomal RNA". It matches the Rfam family "Bacterial small subunit ribosomal RNA", at positions 509 to 808 of the family's 1533-position model. The record is from RNAcentral.
CAGCCCCGCGGGAAUACGAAGGGUGCAAGCGUUAAUCGGAAUUACUGGGCGUAAAGCGUGCGUAGGCGGUGAGUUAAGUCUGCUGUGAAAUCCCCGGGCUCAACCUGGGAAUGGCAGUGGAUACUGGCUCGCUAGAGUGUGUCAGAGGAUGGUGGAAUUCCCGGUGUAGCGGUGAAAUGCGUAGAGAUCGGGAGGAACAUCAGUGGCGAAGGCGGCCAUCUGGGACAACACUGACGCUGAGGCACGAAAGCGUGGGGAGCAAACAGGAUUAGAGACCCGUGUAGUCCCUGUCUCUUAUACA